AUCCAGCUGACGUAUCUCUAAUCGGACGAAAUGUGCGUCCUGGAU
Molecule: non-coding RNA, 45 nt
Filed under: Schistosoma margrebowiei
Lineage: Eukaryota; Metazoa; Platyhelminthes; Trematoda; Strigeidida; Schistosomatidae
Source: RNAcentral